GGAAAAUGAAGACAGAGCGCCCUCCUUGUUUUACGCGGUCUCUCAUCGAUUAGGGAAGUGUGAGAUCGUGUAAAACCAGGAGAGCCAUCUUCUGACUUCCAAUCC
Molecule: microRNA precursor, 105 nt
Filed under: Pristionchus pacificus
Lineage: Eukaryota; Metazoa; Nematoda; Chromadorea; Rhabditida; Neodiplogasteridae
Description: microRNA ppc-mir-2250 precursor
Source: miRBase by way of RNAcentral